UCAUAUAUAUGAUCUUCUUGCAUGUGUUUUUGAGUUUUACGGGUUAAAAAGUGUAUUAUAGUAUCUCAAUGGUUUGUGAUAAUGAAGGUAUAUUGGUAUUGGUGAAGAAGAGGAAGUGCAAUUGUUUUACUACUUUAUAAAGUCUGAGAAUAAUCCGAAAGAAGAUCCUCUUCUUCUCUGGUUGAGCGGUGGACCUGGUUGCUCUUCCACCACUGGUCUUUUUUUUGAGAACGGUAAAACUCUUUUUUUUUUUUUUUAAAUCAAACACAACAAAUGAAUUUGUAAUUUUUAUUUAUCUAAAUAAAUAUAGUUUUAAAAACACUUUGUUUAUAUUGAAAAUAAAUAAACAGGGCCUGUGACAUUCAAGGUUGAUGGUUACAAUGGAGGUAGCCCCACCUUGCUUUCUACUACAUAUUCAUGGACAAAGGUAACAUUAUACAUAGAGUGCUUGUCAUGUGGCUCGUUUUAGUAUUCUUGAUGUAGUUUUUCAAGUCUUAGAUUAAUUGUUUUUAGGUGGCGAACAUGAUAUUCUUGGACCAGCCUGUUGGGACUGGCUUCUCCUAUGCAAAAACUCAACUUCUUGAUACACCAAGUGACUCGGGAGAAGCUAAGCGGAUCCAUGAGUUUAUGCGUAAGGUAAACAAAAAUACAAACUUACUGUUUCUUAAAGCAUUUAUCUUGUUUUAGAAAGACAUCAUUUAGAGUGGUUUUGUUAUUAUUGUUUGUUGAAUGGUAAACAUGAAUCACCUGGUUAGCUCUAGUUAUUGACGUAUUGCUGGAUUCCAUUAUAGACGAGAAGUAUUAUCGAUAACACCGAUUGAGACUCAACAUCGCAUCGCCAUCUUCUUUUUUCUUUUGGUCUUCUCUCUUUUCAUUCUAUUCUUGAUUGAGUUACGGAAUUCUUUGUCUUCCUAUCGGUUUGGUUCUUGUUCGUAGACUAUCAAGCUUCGAUUUAGGCUUCAUGUUGAUACAUGUAUGGCAACAUAGUUUUUGUUGUUGUUGUUGUUAUACAGUGGCUAAGCAAGCAUAAAGAGUUUAUCUCAAAUCCUUUCUAUGUCUGCGGAGAUUCUUAUUCUGGUAAAGUUAUUCCGGCAACCGUUCAAGAAAUCUCCAAAGGUAUGUGUGUGUUCUUACAUACAUGAUACAUCUCUUUUCUUUCUAGGUGUUUUUUUUUUUUAAUUAUGUACUUUCCACAUUAUAACAGUUUUUACAUGAUGAUGUCGAGCGUGCAGGAAUUGAUCUUGGGUUCGAACCUCAAAUAAAUCUUGAGGUUUUAAACAUUUGUAGUUGGCUUCUUCCUAUUUAUAUACAAAAAUUUUGGAACGAAUUGACAAUUUCAUUUGAUCUCAAUAAUAGGGUUAUGUCAUAGGAAAUCCGGUAACAGACACCGAAGUUGAGCAUAACCUUCGCAUUCCAUUUGCUCAUGGAAUGGCAUUGAUCUCUGAUGAACUCUACGAGGUACAAAAAUGAAAAAUGCACCACAUUAAUGAAGUUAGAUAACCAAAAAACUUCGUUCUUUUGUGUGCAGUCGUUGAAGCGCAGCUGCAAAGGAAGUUAUGAAAAUGUAGAUCCAGUUAAUACAGAAUGCUUGAAUUUUGUUGAAGAAUACAAUAAGGUAUACGCUCUUCAUAGUGUUAUAUAUCAAGUGAAAAUUGUGGCCUCCCCAAGCAAGAAAAAAAAUGUGAACCAGAGGUGGUGGGCUAAUGGUUCUAGUAUAGUGGAAGAGUCAUUCAUGUUUGGAUAGAUAAUAAAUGAUGUUCUAGCUUAGAAAUAAAUAAAAAAAUAAAUUAUUUUUUAAUCUGUGUGCAUUCUCUUCAAACAUCAAAUAAAAAAGAACGGAAGGGGUAGAUUUUGAUUUUUUCAAAAAAAAUUUGUGUGGUAAAAUUUGCAGUGCAUUGCUAGGAUAAAUCAAAAUCUUAUUACAAGACCACUGUGCAAAGUUCUGUCAUCUCCAAAAAGAUACAUUGAAGAACUUGUCCUUCCAAGCCUUUCCGUUCCAUUUACUGAUUGCUAUGUAAGCAUUUCAUUUUCUUGCUCUUUGUCUAAUUUUAUGUUUACUAUCACAUAUAUAUGUUGGAAAAGUAAUGAACAACCAAAACCAUUGAGAUAGAAAUAUAUACACAAAAUUAAAUUUUCACCCACUUGAAGAGUUAUACAGAUUUGAUUUCUUCCAAUUGGGCCAAUGACGAGAGCGUUCGCAGAGCACUUCAUGUGGUAAAGGUAUAUAAUAUUAAUAUAUUAUACAUAACGAGUUUUGGUUUUAAGUCACAGUUUUAAAUUUUUAAUGCUAAAAAUACUAUCGAAACUCUAAUAUUUUGAAUGAUUUGAGUGUUGAUAAAAAAUUACUAAUAGUUUUUGGAUGAAUUUAGAAAAAUUAGAUUUGGAUGAAUUUAUAGUAUUAUUUUUAUUCAGAAAUCCUUUUAAACACACUAAAGUCAUUAGUAUAAAAGUAUGCUAGCUUAAAAUAUUUCUAACAGCAGUAGAUGUAAAAGUUUUUUUUCAAAUCAUAAUAGUCUUAAAAUUUUAAGAUAUAUAUUAAAAUAUAUUUAUAUUUAACAUAAAUUUCUAAAGUCGAUGAAGUUUUCUAAAAAUUUAUGACUAAUACAUUUGAAAUUUUUAAACGAAUGAUCAUUCCAUAUUUGAUUAAACAUACUUUAUAUUUAUGACUUAAGGGAAGUAUAAGAAAAUGGGUUCGAUGUGCUUCUUUCGAUACGCCUUAUAAUGUGGACAUUAAAAGCAGCGUACCAGACCAUAUGAAUAACAGUAUCAAAGGUUAUCGAUCUCUCAUCUACAAGUAAGAUUGAUGGAUUUUCAACUUUCUAAUCUGAUACAAAUCAGUUUCAAGAGUUGUUAUAAAAGUUGUUGAGAUUUUUAUUUUGUGGAGAAUAGCGGCGAUCACGACUUGGUGGUACCAUUCAUCUCAACACAAGCAUGGAUAAGAUCUCUUAAUUACUCCAUCAUUGACAAUUGGAGGCCAUGGAUGAUAAACAAUCAAGUUGCUGGAUACACUCAGACUUAUGCAAAUAAGAUGACAUAUGCUACUGUCAAAGCAAGUGAUCUUUUAUAUUUCCAUUGCAUUUAUACAAAUCUUUUCCGUAAACUUUACAUAGGAAAAGGUUUAAGAUUUGACUUUAAUUUAAUUUAAUUUACAGGGAGGUGGGCAUACAGCAGAAUAUAAACCAGAGGAAAGCUCUAUCAUGUUUCAAAGGUGGUUAACUGGCCAACUUCUAUAAAAUUGCCUCUUUGCAAUUCGUUGACUAGAUGAUCGUUAAUAAAACAAUCAUUCAUGCUUGUACUGUAGACCGUAUUUAUAUUUUAUUAUUCUUACAAUAUACCAAUUUUGUAUUAACCAUUAAAAUUAUGGUAUUGGAAUAAAAGGAAUCAUGAAUAACAAAUGUUCUAAAAAAAUGUACAAAAACAAAAUGGACUAAAAUGAACAAAUGAGGGGAAUUUCUAUAAAUGUACCAAAUUUUGUAAGAAAUUUGAAAAAUACACCCAAUUUGGUAAUUUGGAAACUACAGUUUUCCAUUGAAACUAGAUCAUCACCCGUACUAAAGUACGGGUUGAAUUUUAUUUAUUACAAAAUUUAUAUAAUAUAUAUAUUAGAAAUAAGUUUUAAUAUAUUAUAAUAGUAAGUGAAAAAAUAUUAAUUUUUUGUCAGUCCCUAUAUACAAUAUUAGAAUUAGAAUAAAUAUAGAUUUUUUUCUAUAAUACUCAAUUGUGGAUAAUUUUUUUUUUAAGAUAUGAAAACGGAAAAUAAUUUUAUUUUUUAAAAAGUAAUAUUUUUGGAACAAUGAGUUAAUUUAUGUUAACAACCACAAAAUAGGAUUGCAUAUAUUUCAGUUAGAUUAAAAAUUAAAAUAUCAUAAAUGAAUCGCAUAUAAAACAUAGAUUAUUUUGAACUAAUUAAGAAAAUUAACUAUUAUUUUGAAUUAAUUUAGAAAAUUCCUUUUCAAUUUAUAAUUUUUUGGUUGUUGAAAUUGAGAUUUGUUUGAGCUAAUCUAAUUACAGAAUUUGUUUGAGAUUUAUAACUACGGAUUUACCAAUUAUUCGCAUAAUCGAAUAUGUUAUAAACAUAUAUUUAGUAUAUAAUAAUACCAAAAUCAACCUGUGCGUGGAGUCUAUAUUUUUAUUUUAGAAUCUCAAUAUUUCAUUUUAAAAUAUUGUGUGCACAAUCUAUUAUUCGUUAAUUCUAAAAUUGCUUGCGGAAUCAAAUUUUCAUAUAUUUAGAGGUGUCAAACCAUAUUUAAAUGUUCUACACUAUUUUUAAAUAUUCCAAAUUAAAAUCUUUAAAUUUUUUUUGUAGUUUAUAAAAUUAUGAAUUUCAAAAAACAAAUUAUAUGAAAUUAAAUAUAACUAUUCAAAUAGUUAUAAGGAUCAAAACUCAUUUCAUCAUAUAAUAUAUUAUAUUUAACCUGCUACCUAUUAUAAAUAUUUUUUAAAAUAAUCAAAUUAGAGUAUUUAUAAUUUUUAACUUUUUGAGCUAUUAAGUAUUGAUGAUAUUCUCUAAAAAUAUCAAGUAAAACUUAUUUUAAAUAUUGCAAAUUAAAAUAUUUAAUUUUUUUUUAUUGUAGUAUAUAAAAUUAUACAUUUCAAAAAAAUAAAUUUAUGAAAUCGAAUAUAAAUAUUCAAAUUCUGAUCCGUUGUUCAGUCGGAAUUUUUGUUGAAUUUAUUUUUGUCUAAAAGAAAUAUAUUACUCAAGUCUGAAUUUUUGACCCGUUUAAUUGUUUCAUUUAUAGAUUGAACAAUUUAUAUGCGUUUUUAAAAAUUUAAAUCUUGGCAUUUGCAGAAAAAAAUUACUUUUUUUUUUUAUUAUGUAGAUGAUAUGAUGAUUUAUUUGUUUCAUAUAAAUAUAAUCAUAUAAAGAUGAGAAGUGAAGUCUAAUGAUUAAUAACAAAUUAAUAUGGUAAGUUAGAUAUCAAAUCUUAUAUGUUCAUCUUGAUUGGUCAUUUAAAAAAAAAAUAACAGAUUUUUGUUUUAUAAUUUAAUUAAAUUAAUUAAAUGACUUAAAUUAGUAUUUUACUUGUUUAUCCUUAAUAAAUUGAAUGAAAUUUGUUCAAAAAUAAGAUUUUUGUAAUGGUAUUCUUAAGUAAUUUUUUACACAAGAGAAGGUUAGUUAAGGGUAUCUUAUAAAGUGUACUCCCCAAAUAAUAGUAUAGGAUUUUACCAUAAUACCAUUUUAUAAAUUUUAAAAUAAGUAAAUUUAACCAAAAUUCGUAAUUAACUUUCUAAUAAUAUAAAAUUAAGAAAAUAUAUAUAAUACUGUGUAAAAUAUCAUUGUAUAUUUUUAAAAUAUAUAUAUAUAUAUAUAUAUAUAUAUAUAUAUAUAUAUAUAUAUAUAUAUAUAUAUAUGUAUAAGGGAGACUCACAAAAAUGCCCCUUUUUCAAUACCCCUUUUCAAAAAUGCCCCAUUUGGAUGUUCAUUUUUAAAAAUACCCCUUUUAUGUACAAAAUGACUAAACUACCCUUUUUUUAAUAAAAGAUAUCAUAAAUAUAUAAGGAAAUAUAACAAAAUUAGGUCCACAAAAUACAAANNNNNNNNNNNNNNNNNNNNNNNNNNNNNNNNNNNNNNNNNNNNNNNNNNNNNNNNNNNNNNNNNNNNNNNNNNNNNNNNNNNNNNNNNNNNNNNNNNNNUAUUUAUAAGGUUUUACAAUGUAUUUUAAAGUCCGCAAAACGCCAUUCCUAUCGCUAGAGAGAUUUUACAAGCUAUUUUAUAAGGUUUUUACAAGUUAUAAGGUUUUACAAGGUUUUUAUAAGGUUUUACAAGUUAUAAAUACCUUAUAAAACCUUAAAAGUACUUUGUAAAACCUUUUAAAAUACAUUGUAAAACCUUACAAAACAAUUGUAAAUACCUUGUAAAAAACCUUUAAAAUACCUUGUAAAUUUUUCCCGCCAAAAAUUUUCUCGCCAAAAAAAUUUCGCAAAAAAAAUUGCGGAAUCACUUUUCCCGCAAAAAAAAUUUUUUGGCGGGAAAAUUUUUUGACAGGAAAAAUUUUUACGGGAAAAUUUUACAAGGUUUUUUAAAGGUUUUUACAAGUGUUUUGGCGGGAAAAUUGCGGGAUCACUUUUCCCGCCAAAAAAUAUUUUGUAUUUUGUGGACCUAAUUUUGUUUCAAAUAAGGGUAAAAUGGUCAUUAAAAAUUAAAAGAGGGCAAACUUAAAAAUGGACUCUCAAAGGGGGUAUUUUUGAAAAGGGGUAUUGAAAAAGGGGCAUUUUUAACAAUUUCUCUAUGUAUAAUUAGUGUUGAUAAUAUUAUUUAUAUUUGUAAUUUCAUAUAAUUCAAAAGUUUAAAAUUUUAUAAAAAAUAAUUUCUAUAUUUUUUUCUCGAUAUUUUUUUUGUAGACUUAUUUCAUUUUGUGAUGACUGAUUAAUAAAGACGAUUUUUUAAACUACAUAUCGAGAGAUAAUAAAAGCUUUGAAAAUAUAAAAUCAAAAUUUUUAAUAAAAGUAUUUGUCACGUGCAGAUUUAGAUGGUCAUGGUGGCCCAUUUGAACGCCACACCUUGAAAGAACUAGAAAUGUGUACAUACUACAACACGACUUCAUCAAUGUCCCUUAUUAUACUUAUUUAAACAUAUUUAUGGGUACUUGUAUAUCUCUAACAACCGCAAUAACUUUAGCUACCCAUGGCUCUACGAAUCUGUCCAAAAUUUUUUUUCAAAAAUAUUAUACCCAAUAACCCAAUUCUGAAUUUGUUGUUGUUAGGAAGAAAGAACCCAACAAAAUAAAAAUAAAAUUAUUCCAAAUUGCUUACUUAGAUAUCGGCGUUAAAAAAAAAAAAAAACUUUUCUUUUGGGGGAUAGAAAUGUCGACAAAACCAACCUUACCAAUGUGGAAAACUGGAAAUGGCUCAUCCACACAAAUAUGGGGAAGAAGGGCCCCUAUUCAAAGGCUAUGAAAUAAAUAAAAAUGCUACCUAACUACUCCAUCUUCUUCUUUUAGUAGUUUAUAAACAUGUGUUUGUAUUUAUAAGGAAUCGAAUUCAUCAUUAGAAGCUACAAAAAUAAAAUGACUAAUCAUGAGUAUGUUCCAUCAAUGGUUCUAAUAAAGUUGUCGAUGCUGCUGCUUCUACUUGUCUUGACGCCACAUGCUGAUUCUGGCUCCAUUGUCAAGUUUCUUCCUGGUUUUGAAGGUCCUCUUCCUUUCGAGCUCGAAACCGGGUUUGUGUUUCUUAUAUCAUAUAUAUGAUCUUCUUGCAUGUGUUUUUGAGUUUUAAGGGUUAAAUUAUUUAGUAAGAUCAAUUGUUUGUGAUAAUGAAGGUAUAUUGGUGUUGGUGAAGAAGAAGAAGUGCAAUUGUUUUACUACUUUAUAAAAUCUGAGAAUAAUCCAAAAGAAGAUCCUCUUCUUCUCUGGUUAAGCGGUGGACCUGGUUGCUCUUCUGUCGCUGUCUUCUUUUUGAGAACGG
This 7404-nucleotide long non-coding RNA is filed under the name Arabidopsis lyrata. RNAcentral describes it as "long non-coding RNA (ALYR_LNC001226)". The record is from RNAcentral. Lineage: Eukaryota; Viridiplantae; Streptophyta; Magnoliopsida; Brassicales; Brassicaceae.